Fukomys damarensis (Damara mole-rat) is the source of this 939-nucleotide long non-coding RNA. RefSeq lists it as uncharacterized. The record is from RefSeq and is a predicted model, not a curated record. NCBI's taxonomy places the organism in Eukaryota, Metazoa, Chordata, Mammalia, Rodentia, Bathyergidae. The transcript has 3 exons.
ACAUCUUUCCCUUUUCCUUGGUGGGAAGAUAAUGAAACUAAAUUGCUUUAAAAAAAAAAUCAUCCCCUACUAUUCAAUGUAGGAGCAAUAUAGACUCGCAAGCCACCUACACAAGUUGAAACAAAAUAGCCACAGUAAAUAUCUUUAGUGAAAUUGUAGAUAGCUGUACAAUGGAAGAAAGUAUCUUUUUCCCUUGAGAUAGUAGAUUUCCACCAGUAUUUCCCUGUAAUCAGUUCUGAAACAUCUAAACAUCUCCUACCUUUUUGUAUUAACCCAAAGAAUUUCAAGACAGGCAUUUGCAUAAUUUGCUACGAUUACCCUAACCUGCAGAAGAGAUAAACAUUUUGGGUCAACACGGACUUGCUUUUUUUUUUUUUUUUUCUUUUUAAGUAGUGUUAAGGUUUACAUUUAGAGGAGGCUUUUUGUUGGUCUUAUACAGAAAGAUAUUAAAAACAGCAGGAAUAAAGGUUUGGAAAAGGUUAAGGAGUUAAAAAGUGCUCUACGGAAGUGCCUUUGAUACAGAUUUGCUUUAUUAGAAGGAUACAGUAACAUCUUUUUUAAGUGUACAUUUUCUCUCCGUCAAAUUAAACAGAUGUGCAGUUUUUAUUGAAAAAUAUGGACCUAGUGUUUCAUGUUGGAACAAAGAAUUUUGCAUGUCUUACAUAUUCCAGUCUCCUUGAACUCAGGCUGGCCUUGAACUCACAGUGAUCUUCCUGCUUCAGCCUCCCGAGUGCUGACAUUACAGGUUGUUCAAACAAAGUGAGAAAUCCAGCGAGACACCGAGCGUGGCUGUCAUCGAGGACAACACGACAACCUGUGUCCGGUGCCCUCCCGGAGUCUCAGUGUGGAAAUCCCACGGAAGCUACUGUCAAAUAAGGCACUCACAGCUUCUGCAGGAGGAAGAAGCCCGUAAUUUUACUGGUGACGCUUACUUAUAAC